GGAGAAAGUGGCAGUCAAGGGCUUCCUGGACUCAGAGGAGAAAAAGGAGAGUCAGGCAGAGCCUAUGGCAGAGGAGAAAAAGGAGAAAAGGAAGCUACUCUGUAGAGGAGAAAACUCUAACCAGGAGCACCCACCUUCUCCUGCAGAGGUGUGGAUGAAGGUUUCAUUACAGAUUACAGUGCUCUAUGGGAGUUCCCUUGAUAAUGUGUUUGCAAGAGUAUCUGAGCUUUCCCUUUGUGCCUUAUCUGUUUCCCUUCAUGCUAAUAACCACAAACGCAGCAAUGAAUAUGAGAAACAACUUUGGAAGAUUAAGUCUAUGUUCUCCUAAAAUGUGUGGGGGGUUUUGUGUUGUUGGAAUUUUUUCAUGGUAAUGACUUGCCCUGAUAAAAAUUCAGGCGGAUUAUUAUAGGAUUUCUAAUGAGAAUAUAAACCUCUGAAGUGGCUUGGCUUAUUAGAGAUGCAGUGACUGCAAGACCAAGCAUAGAAAAGCAGGCAGAUUGUUAAGGCUCUGGACUAUGCUGCAGGAGAUGUGGGCUUUAAACUUGGCUCCAACAGAUUUGCUGACCUUGGGCAAAGCAUCUAGUCUUUGUUCCUGUAAAAUGAAGCUGAAGGUCUCUCUUUCCCUCCAGGCUUUGCAUAUCUUUCCUGCUAUAUCGUUCAAAUAAAGGCCUUGCUUCCCCUUCCCUUAUGUGUCUU
This 696-nucleotide long non-coding RNA is filed under the name Anser cygnoides (Swan goose). RNAcentral describes it as "lncRNA (ENSACDG00005006817.1)". Lineage: Eukaryota; Metazoa; Chordata; Aves; Anseriformes; Anatidae. The record is from RNAcentral.